UUCAGACGAUGCGUCAUGCAUAUCAAUAAGCGGAGGAAAAGAAACUAACAAGGAUUCCCCUAGUAACGGCGAGUGAAGCGGGAAGAGCUCAAAUUUGAAAUCUUAAAGGGUUUCCCUUUACGAAUUGUAGUUUAAAGAAGUGUUUUCUGUUGAGGUUUUGGUAAAAGUUCUUUGGAAUAGGACAUCAUAGAGGGUGAGAAUCCCGUAUUUGACCUUUACUUUCAACUUUGUGAUACACUUUCAAAGAGUCGGAUUGUUUGGGAAUGCAGUCCAAAAUGGGUGGUAAAUUUCAUCUAAAGCUAAAUAUUGGCGAGAGACCGAUAGCGAACAAGUACCGUGAGGGAAAGAUGAAAAGAACUUUGAAAAGAGAGUUAAACAGUACGUGAAAUUGUCAAAAGGGAAGCGUUUGACACCAGUGUUGUUUUUCUGAAAAUCAAUUAAAGAACUGUUUAUGCUAAGCUGUUUAGACUUUAUCAGCUAUCUGUUUAGUUUUGAGCUUUUCUUUAAUGCACUUUUCAGUUAACAAGUCAACAUCAAUUUCUUUUGCUGUAAAGAAGCUUGAGGAAGGUGGCUUGAGAUUCGUCUUAAGUGUUUAUAGCCUCUUGCCUAUGCAGUCGGAGAGAUUGAGGUCUGCAGCGUAGAUCCUUCGGGGCUAAAUGCAUUUGUGCUAAGUUAUAGCAUUUUAUAGACAACUUGUUGACUAUGAUUUGUCUUGUAGCUUACUCGCUUAUGUUAUUUUACCUACGCUUAGGAUGUUGAAUCUGUGCGAGACUAC
This 775-nucleotide ribosomal RNA is filed under the name uncultured Neocallimastigales. RNAcentral describes it as "partial large subunit ribosomal RNA". It matches the Rfam family "Eukaryotic large subunit ribosomal RNA", at positions 18 to 644 of the family's 3401-position model. Lineage: Eukaryota; Fungi; Neocallimastigomycota; Neocallimastigomycetes; Neocallimastigales. The record is from RNAcentral.